This 36-nucleotide transfer RNA is filed under the name Larix gmelinii. RNAcentral describes it as "partial tRNA-Arg". The record is from RNAcentral. Lineage: Eukaryota; Viridiplantae; Streptophyta; Pinopsida; Pinales; Pinaceae.
GCGUCCAUCGUCUAAUGGAUAGGACAGAGGUCUUUC